GACGAACGCUGGCGGCGUGCCUAAUACAUGCAAGUAGAACGCACAGUUUAUACCGUAGCUUGCUACACCAUAGACUGUGAGUUGCGAACGGGUGAGUAACGCGUAGGUAACCUGCCUGGUAGCGGGGGAUAACUAUUGGAAACGAUAGCUAAUACCGCAUAAUAUUAAUUAUUGCAUGAUAAUUAAUUGAAAGGUGCAAUUGCACCACUACCAGAUGGACCUGCGUUGUAUUAGCUAGUAGGUGAGGUAACGGCUCACCUAGGCGACGAUACAUAGCCGACCUGAGAGGGUGAUCGGCCACACUGGGACUGAGACACGGCCCAGACUCCUACGGGAGGCAGCAGUAGGGAAUCUUCGGCAAUGGACGAAAGUCUGACCGAGCAACGCCGCGUGAGUGAAGAAGGUUUUCGGAUCGUAAAGCUCUGUUGUAAGAGAAGAACGGGUGUGAGAGUGGAAAGUUCACACUGUGACGGUAUCUUACCAGAAAGGCGG
This 492-nucleotide ribosomal RNA is filed under the name Streptococcus gordonii. Its description in RNAcentral is "bacterial SSU rRNA". It matches the Rfam family "Bacterial small subunit ribosomal RNA", at positions 28 to 494 of the family's 1533-position model. The record is from RNAcentral. Lineage: Bacteria; Bacillati; Bacillota; Bacilli; Lactobacillales; Streptococcaceae.